GGUCUCUACGUUAUCUGGGCCCAAGUGAUUUAUUAUCCCUCGUUAUCUGCGUCCGUGUAGUUAAUCAAGGCGCGGUGGAGGGCUGAGUGACGCCUCUAGACCCUUAUAUAUCUAAUGGAGGGACAGACGUGUGGCGGUGCUGUGGUGGACAUGGAGCCUCGGAAUAACCAUGUAUCACAGCGACACGAGCCUCUGAGUCGCCUUCCUCCGUCAACACGAAUUCUGCAGCAGCUUUAUGUGUCACGGCCUCACCUCCAACGUCGCCCUACUGCUCACUCGUGGUGGAUGCGCGGGAUGAAGCGGAGCAUCUCGGUCUCAUGUUCCAGGCUGACCCUUCUCCUGAGCUGCUUCGUCGCUACCAGCGAUCCAGGGAUGAUUUGACAGCACUCCUGGAAUGUGUAAGUACCGACUCCUGGCAGCGGUUCACUGACAGCAUUAAUCAUCAAACCACUGUGGCUUCCAUGUGGUACCUCAUUCGUCGAGUGGUCAAGAGGAUACCUGCUACAGCCCGUCACCAUUCCCCCGCCGUGUUCGCCCAACAGCUUGUUGACAAGUGGUCGGAGUAGUCCACCCCUGCCAGCCUUCCUGCUGCUGUUCAAGAUGCUGUCUCUUGCGGCGUUCUCACUCGUCGGCUUCAUCUGGCAAGAGCCUUGCUGCAAAAAGAUGAUGAGCAGUCUGUGCUGAUCAUAGAGGAUAAGCUGCGCCGUGCUCUCUUGAGAGGCUUCUGCUACCUGUGGUCUCGUUGUCUCUCCACAUAAGUGCAGAAUCUUCUCUUGCCGCCCUCCUGCCACUCUACCGGACUUUACCGUUGGAGGCACCGUCAUCCCCCUGUGCUCGCAGUACCGCUACCUUGGUGCCCCAGUAAGGAUCUCUGCAGCCCUCCCUGCCCCUCGCUAGCCUCAUCCUAUCGUCCGUGAUCUGUUGGAGCGACUCCAGCGACGACUACAUCCUCUUCAGUGGCUCACCAACAACUCUUCCGGCAUCUCCAUUCCCGUUGCCAGAACCAUCUAUAUCACCUUCAUUCGCUCUGUUAUUGACUAUCUUUCCCCUGCCUUAAUUCAACUUCCUCGGGCUGCCGUGGAGCCUCUGGAUAUUUUUCAGAAUAGAGCGAUGAGAGUCAUUCUUUGAUGCCCUGUGUCUACCAGGAUCGUGGAUAUGCAACGGGAAUUACGACUUCCAUCCUUGGUGGAGAGGAUCCACUCCAAUGUUACAAGUCUUGCAGUUAAGUGUCUCCAUUUUCUUCACCUCUCUCCACACUUCACAGCGUUAGUCAGGGCAUCUCUCGGCCCCGCUUCGGCCGUCCCCCCUCUCCUGCCUUCGAGUCGUCGUCUUAUUAGGUCUGUUUCUUCAUGUCUUCGCAGCGUUGAUUUGCAAGUUCUUGUAGCUGAUGUGGUCCCAGGCCCACCCCCGUGGAAACUGCCGUCGCCUGUGGUCAGCUUCACUCCCACCGCCAAGUGUGAUCCACCUCCUCUACAGCUGCAACUGGCCUUGGAGCAUGUAGAGCAGGUAACAUCCUCCAUCACCGCUCCACAUCACCUCUACACCGAUGGGUCGCUACAACCAGAUGGUGCCGCUGGUGGUGCCGUCUUCUCACCUGACUUGCCGCCGCCUCCUGGGGGCUGGGUCGGCCGUCGGCUUCGUGACCGCUCCAGUACAACGUUGUGUGUGCUGAAUACCAUUCUGGAUGCUGUUAGUCUCGUUCGUCAGUGAGGGAUUAAUGCUGUCGUUAUUUGUGACUCUAAACCUGCUCUCCAGUCUCUUUCCGCGUCUCAUCCCAGUCACCUUUUAGUUGUUCAACAGAUCCUGUCCUUUCUGUCCCUAAUGAGCGACCGUGGCCUCUGUGUGAAAUUUAUUUGGAUUCCUUCCCACGUAGGUUUGCUUCACAAUGACACAGUUGACCGCCUGGCGAAGGAAGCCUGCCUGUGCGACACCUCCUGCCCCAGGAUCUACCAGUACAUGCUGUCUGCCUUCACCUGCUACUGCCUGACGUGUUGGACGAAAUCUUUAGUACGUCAGCCUCGCUUCGGGGUAUUUACCUAAACGUCCUGCCCCGCGUGGCUUCCAUAUUAUCACUAUUCUUGCUGUUCU
RNAcentral lists this unclassified non-coding RNA (2088 nucleotides) under Portunus trituberculatus (swimming crab). RNAcentral describes it as "uncharacterized LOC123506217, transcript variant X3". The record is from RNAcentral. Lineage: Eukaryota; Metazoa; Arthropoda; Malacostraca; Decapoda; Portunidae.